UGGGGAAUAUUGCACAAUGGGGGAAACCCUGAUGCAGCAACGCCGCGUGGAGGAUGACGCAUUUCGGUGUGUAAACUCCUUUUAUAAGGGAAGAUAAUGACGGUACCUUAUGAAUAAGCACCGGCUAACUCCGUGCCAGCAGCCGCGGUAAUACGGAGGGUGCAAGCGUUACUCGGAAUCACUGGGCGUAAAGGAUGCGUAGGCUGGAGAUCAAGUCAGGAGUGAAAUCCAACGGCUCAACCGUUGAACUGCUCCUGAAACUGGUCACCUAGAAUAUGGGAGAGGUAGAUGGAAUUGGUGGUGUAGGGGUAAAAUCCGUAGAUAUCACCAGGAAUACCGAUUGCGAAGGCGAUCUACUGGAACAUUAUUGACGCUGAGGCAUGAA
Molecule: ribosomal RNA, 385 nt
Filed under: uncultured bacterium
Lineage: Bacteria
Description: bacterial SSU rRNA
Rfam family: Bacterial small subunit ribosomal RNA
Source: RNAcentral